GAUCUUGGUUCAGGAUGAACGCUGGCGGCGUGCUUAACACAUGCAAGUCGAACGAGGUUAACAGAGCGGAUUAUUCGGUAUGAAGCGCUAUUAACUGAGUGGCGGACGGGUGAGUAACGCGUGGGCAACCUGCCUCAUUCAGGGGGAUACCAGUUGGAAACGACUGUUAAUACCGCAUAAGCGCACGGUUCCGCAUGAAACAGUGUGAAAAGCUCCGGCAGAAUGAGAUGGGCCCGCGUCUGAUUAGCUGGUUGGUGAGGUAACGGCCCACCAAGGCGACGAUCAGUAGCCGACCUGAGAGGGUGACCGGCCACAUUGGGACUGAGACACGGCCCAAACUCCUACGGGAGGCAGCAGUGGGGAAUAUUGCACAAUGGAGGAAACUCUGAUGCAGCCGACGCCGCGUGAGUGAAGAAGUAUUUCGGUAUGUAAAGCUCUAUCAGCAGGGAAGAAGAUGACGGUACCUGCACAAGAAGCCCCGGCUAACUACGUGCCAGCAGCGGC
This 504-nucleotide ribosomal RNA is filed under the name uncultured bacterium. Its description in RNAcentral is "bacterial SSU rRNA". It matches the Rfam family "Bacterial small subunit ribosomal RNA", at positions 15 to 518 of the family's 1533-position model. The record is from RNAcentral.